RNAcentral lists this transfer RNA (72 nucleotides) under Camelus bactrianus (Bactrian camel). It matches the Rfam family "tRNA". From Rfam's summary of the family: Transfer RNA (tRNA) molecules are approximately 80 nucleotides in length. Their secondary structure includes four short double-helical elements and three loops (D, anti-codon, and T loops). RNAcentral also lists the same sequence under 2 other names. Lineage: Eukaryota; Metazoa; Chordata; Mammalia; Artiodactyla; Camelidae. The record is from Rfam by way of RNAcentral.
GAGGGUACAGCUCAGUGGUUGAGUGUGUGCUUAGCAAGCACAAGGUCCUGGGUCCAAUCCCUAGUACCCCUG